UUUCAAAGAUGUGGAGUAUCUCUAAUUCAAAUGGUUUGUAGUCGUAACAAUGGUAUAGAAUGGGAUUUGUGAAAGUGUAUAUGUCAGUAACAUGCUUUGUGGAUAACAAAAUUUAAAACAUUUCAAAAUUGUGGGUAUAAAAGGUGCUUCCAGCUUCUGAAAACCAAGAAAAUUUGUGGUUUCUUUGGUACACUCUUUACUUUUUAAGAGGAUUGACAUGGAGUAUUUAGUUAUAAUACAACUACGUGGGUAUAUUUAGCGUAACUCUAUUAUAUCAGAUAGAUGUAUAUCAGAUAUUGUAUUAUCGAAGCUGAUACACAACUAAAAUAGUGAGUUACCAUCAAUUAAGUGUUCAAAUGACUAAUAAUAUUCCGCUGGAAGAAUACAGUAAAUGCAGUAGAUCCUGUAGUGUCAGUCUCGCUAAAAGAUCAGAAUUCUGUAGAGAUCUUAGCUGUAAAGCGGUGGAAGUAUAGUACAUCCACAUAUUCACACAUCAAAACAUCCUAUUAUAAGAUCCUCACUGCGCAAAUGUACACACACUCCUUGCAGUGUCAAAAAAUACAAAUGUACACUCUGCCUGAGCAAAUAACGUUUCAUAAUGAAAAUAUCCAUUAUUAUAUAAUAUGCUGUCAGCAUGUAUUGGAGAACCAAGUUACUCAAGUAGUUCUAGUGAAAGGAUAAUGUUACGUUCACGGUUGUAAACUUUACAUCCGCAUAUGCUACGGAAGUGUGAAUCCGUAAAUAGAAAAUUACAUAGUACAUAGUGAAUAUUGGUAUAAAUCAGAUGGUUUCUGAAAUCCCCAUAACAUACCAGGUGCCCCGUACUCUCCCCAUAACACAACAGACGCUCCGUACUCUCCCCGUGACACAACCAACGAACCGUACUUUCCGCAUAACACAACAGACGCUCCGUACUCUCCCCAUGACACAACAAACGAACCGUACUUUCCCCAUAACACAACAGACGCUCCGUACUCUCCCCAUGACACAACAAACGAACCGUACUUUCCCCAUAACACAACAGGCUCUCCGUACUCUCCCCAUAACAAAACAGACGCUCCGUACCCUCCCCAUAACACAACAGACGCUUCGUACUCUCCACAUAACACAACAGACGCUCCGUACUCUCCCCAUAACACAACAGACGCUCCGUACUCUCCCCAUAACACAACAGACGCUCCGUACUUCCUCCCCAUAACACAACAGACGCUCCGUACUCUCCCCAUAACACAACAGACGCUCCGUACUCUCCCCAUAACACAACAGACGCUCCGUACCACUCCCCCAUAACAGACGCAACAGACGCUCCGUACUCUCCUCAUAACACAACAGACGCUCCGUACCCUCCCCAUAACACAACAGACGCUCCGUACUCUUCCAAUAACACAACAGGCGCUCCGUACUCUCCCCAUAACACAACAGACGUUCCUACCCUCCCCAUAACACAACAGACGCUCUCUACCAUCGCCAUAACACAACACACGCUCCGUACUCUGCACAUAACACAACAGACGCACCGUACUUUCCCCAUAACACAACAGGCGUUCCGUACUCUCCCCAUAACACAACAGGUAUUCCGUACUCUCCACAUAACACAGGAGACGCUCCGUACUCUCCUCAAAACAAAACAGGUGCCCCGUACUCUCCCCAUAACACAACAGACGCUCCGUACUCUUCCCAUAACACAACAGACGUUCCGUACUCCCCAACAACAGACGCACAUCACUUGUCUCGGUCUCUCCUGAACACCACGGAGUUAAUUCUAACAACCCAACACCGACACCAACAAUCCCAACGACACCUACAUCAACACCCACGUCCACAUCCACAUCCGCACCUCCACCCACACCAAUACCCUAAACACAACCCAUCCACUGACACCCAACCCCCCAUCGAUAUCCACCCCGACACACACCACUCCCACAUCCACCCUUCAUGGAUAUUCCAGUUGUCAUUACAUGCAUAUUGGAUGUGAGUGUGACGCAUCUAUUGGGAAAUAAUGAUAAUUGGUACAGUAAGUCCGUGUAAGUCUGGUUGCGCGGAAACAUCGUCCCUACAGGCUCCAUGUUUGCAUUGUAAGAAUGAUAUAUAGAAUCAAUAAAUAACUAUAUAAUG
Long non-coding RNA from Haliotis rubra (blacklip abalone), 2115 nucleotides. RefSeq lists it as uncharacterized. The transcript has 2 exons. Lineage: Eukaryota; Metazoa; Mollusca; Gastropoda; Lepetellida; Haliotidae. The record is from RefSeq and is a predicted model, not a curated record.